GUGGUCGGGAGAUAUCUGGUGCUGUUUUGCUUUUUUCCUGAAAUGAAUUGCAGAUGUACAUUACUUCAGCUAGAAUGACUACUAAACUGGUGAGCAUUAUUAGUCCAGAAAUGCUCCCAUCAUGUAAGAUAUAUUUAUUUGACAUUUCAUUCUUGCAGUUCCCCGCCGUCAAUGGAAGAAUCACUAUCGCUUUACACCAGCCUUUUGCUUUAUUCAUUCUGAU
Molecule: long non-coding RNA, 223 nt
Filed under: Mytilus galloprovincialis (Mediterranean mussel)
Lineage: Eukaryota; Metazoa; Mollusca; Bivalvia; Mytilida; Mytilidae
Source: RNAcentral